This 256-nucleotide ribosomal RNA is filed under the name uncultured bacterium. RNAcentral describes it as "partial 16S ribosomal RNA". It matches the Rfam family "Bacterial small subunit ribosomal RNA", at positions 524 to 779 of the family's 1533-position model. The record is from RNAcentral.
UACGAAGGGGGCUAGCGUUGCUCGGAAUUACUGGGCGUAAAGCGCACGUAGGCGGCUUUCUAAGUCGGGGGUGAAAUCCUGGAGCUCAACUCCAGAACUGCCUUCGAUACUGGAGAGCUUGAGUCCGGGAGAGGUGAGUGGAACUGCGAGUGUAGAGGUGAAAUUCGUAGAUAUUCGCAAGAACACCAGUGGCGAAGGCGGCUCACUGGCCCGGUACUGACGCUGAGGUGCGAAAGCGUGGGGAGCAAACAGGGAU